UCCCGCGUAAUUUAGGCAUAUUCUAAGCGGAGGAAAAGAAACUAACAAGGAUUCCCCCAGUAGCGGCGAGCGAACAGGGAAGAGUCCAGCACCGAACCCCGCAGGCUGCCGCCUGUCGUGGCAUGUGGUGUUUGGGAGGGUCCACUACCCCGGCGUCUCGCGCCGAGUCCAAGUCCAACUUGAAUGAGGCCACGGCCCGUAGAGGGUGCCAGGCCCGUAGUGGCCGGUGCGGGCGUCGGCGGGACCUCUCCUUCGAGUCGGGUUGCUUGAGAGUGCAGCUCCAAGUGGGUGGUAAACUCCAUCUGAGACUAAAUAUGACCACGAGACCGAUAGCGAACAAGUACCGUGAGGGAAAGUUGAAAAGAACUUUGAAGAGAGAGUUCAAAAGUACGUGAAACCGUCCUGGGGUAAACGUGAGAAGUCCGAAAGGUCGAACGGGGAGAUUCACGCCCAUCCGGCCGCUGGCCUCCGCCCUCGGCAGAUGGGGCCGGCCGCCCGCGCGGAGCAAUCCGCGGCGGGGUCGUGUCCGGUUGCUUUUCCACUCGCUGUGGGGUGGAGCCGUUCCAGCGUGCGGUGGGCCGCACUUCUCCCCUAGUAGGACGUCGCGACCCGCUGGGUGCCGGCCUACGGCCUGGGUGCGCAGCCUGUCCUUCCGCGGGCCUCGGUUCGCGUCUGUUGGGCAGAGCCCCGGUGUCCUGGCUGGCUGCUCGGCGGUACAUCUGGAGGAGUCGAUUCGCCCCGUGCGGGCGCUCGGGCUCCCGGCAAGCGCGCGCGGUUCUUCCCGGAUGACGGUCCUACCUGGCCCGGCCCCGGACCCGCGCCGCUGUUGGCUCGGGCAGCUCUCGGGCGGAAUAAUCGCUCCCGUCAGCGGCGCUUCAGCUUUGGACAAUUUCACGACCCGUCUUGAAACACGGACCAAGGAGUCUAACAUGUGCGCGAGUCAUUGGGCUCUACGAAACCUAAAGGCGUAAUGAAAGUGAAGGUCUCGCCUUGCGCGGACCGAGGGAGGAUGGGGCUUCCCCGCCCGUUCGUGGGCGGCGGCCUCCGCACUCCCGGGGCGUCUCGUCCUCAUUGCGAGGUGAGGCGCACCUAGAGCGUACACGUUGGGACCCGAAAGAUGGUGAACUAUGCCUGGCCAGGACGAAGUCAGGGGAAACCCUGAUGGAGGUCCGUAGCGAUUCUGACGUGCAAAUCGAUCGUCGGAGCUGGGUAUAGGGGCGAAAGACUAAUCGAACCAUCUAGUAGCUGGUUCCCUCCGAAGUUUCCCUCAGGAUAGCUGGUGCUCAUACGAGUCUCAUCCGGUAAAGCGAAUGAUUAGAGGCCUUGGGGCCGAAACGACCUCAACCUAUUCUCAAACUUUAAAUGGGUGAGAUCUCCGGCUUGCUUGAUAUGCUGAAGCCGCGAGCUUUGACGACUCGGAUCGGAGUGCCAAGUGGGCCACUUUUGGUAAGCAGAACUGGCGCUGUGGGAUGAACCAAACGCCGAGUUAAGGCGCCCGAAUCGACGCUCAUGGGAAACCAUGAAAGGCGUUGGUUGCUUAAGACAGCAGGACGGUGGCCAUGGAAGUCGGAAUCCGCUAAGGAGUGUGUAACAACUCACCUGCCGAAGCAACUAGCCCUGAAAAUGGAUGGCGCUGAAGCGUCGUGCCUAUACUCGGCCGUCAGUCUGGCAGUCCUGGCCGGUCCUUGCGGCCGGCCGCGAAGCCCUGACGAGUAGGAGGGUCGCGGCGGUGAGCGCAGAAGGGUCUGGGCGUGAGCCUGCCUGGAGCCGCCGUCGGUGCAGAUCUUGGUGGUAGUAGCAAAUACUCCAGCGAGGCCCUGGAGGGCUGACGCGGAGAAGGGUUUCGUGUGAACAGCCGUUGCACACGAGUCAGUCGAUCCUAAGCCCUAGGAGAAAUCCGAUGUCGAUGGGGGCCGUCUAGCAGAGCGCUUGCGUUGUGCUGGCCCCCGUUGGGCGAAAGGGAAUCCGGUUCCUAUUCCGGAACCCGGCAGCGGAACCGAAACAAGUCGGGCCCCUCUUUAUGAGAUGCUCGUCGGGGUAACCCAAAAGGACCCGGAGACGCCGUCGGGAGAUCGGGGAAGAGUUUUCUUUUCUGCAUGAGCGUUCGAGUUCCCUGGAAUCCUCUAGCAGGGAGAUAGGGUUUGGAACGCGAAGAGCACCGCAGUUGCGGCGGUGUCCCGAUCUUCCCCUCGGACCUUGAAAAUCCGGGAGAGGGCCACGUGGAGGUGUCGCGCCGGUUCGUACCCAUAUCCGCAGCAUGUCUCAAGGUGAAGAGCCUCUAGUCGAUAGAAUAAUGUAGAAGGAAGUC
Molecule: ribosomal RNA, 2308 nt
Filed under: Lithidiopsis carinatus
Lineage: Eukaryota; Metazoa; Arthropoda; Insecta; Orthoptera; Acrididae
Description: eukaryotic LSU rRNA
Rfam family: Eukaryotic large subunit ribosomal RNA
Source: RNAcentral